Molecule: ribosomal RNA, 143 nt
Filed under: Oligodon fasciolatus
Lineage: Eukaryota; Metazoa; Chordata; Lepidosauria; Squamata; Colubridae
Description: partial 16S ribosomal RNA
Source: RNAcentral
GCCCACAAUAACACACAAACAUACACCAUAGAAAAACAAAACAUUUGACUAACCCAGUAGAUGAGAUCGAACAGUAAAUAUAACCAGUACCGCAAGGGAAAUUAAUAAGCAAUAAACAGCAAAGAUUAACCCUUGUACCUUUG